This 222-nucleotide ribosomal RNA is filed under the name uncultured bacterium. Its description in RNAcentral is "partial 16S ribosomal RNA". It matches the Rfam family "Bacterial small subunit ribosomal RNA", at positions 111 to 334 of the family's 1533-position model. The record is from RNAcentral.
UAAUAGAUAGGAACGUAUCCGGGAGUGGGGGAUAACUAGCCGAAAGGUUAGCUAAUACCGCAUAUUCUCUGAGGAGGAAAGCGGGGGACCAGAAAUGGCCUCGCGCUCGCGGAGUGGCCUAUCUCCGAUUAGCUAGUUGGUGAGGUAAAGGCUUACCAAGGCGACGAUCGGUAGCUGGUCUGAGAGGAUGAUCAGCCACACUGGGACUGAGACACGGCCCAG